Molecule: ribosomal RNA, 490 nt
Filed under: uncultured bacterium
Lineage: Bacteria
Description: partial 16S ribosomal RNA
Rfam family: Bacterial small subunit ribosomal RNA
Source: RNAcentral
AUUGAACGCUGGCGGCAUGCUUUACACAUGCAAGUCGAACGGCAGCACGAAAGAGCUUGCUCUUUUGGUGGCGAGUGGCGAACGGGUGAGUAAUGCAUCGGAACGUACCGAGUAAUGGGGGAUAACUGUCCGAAAGGAUAGCUAAUACCGCAUACGCUUUGGGAAGGAAAGUGGGGGCUCUUCGGACCUCACGUUAUUCGAGCGGCCGAUGUCUGAUUAGCUAGUUGGUGGGGUAAAGGCCUACCAAGGCGACGAUCAGUAGCGGGUCUGAGAGGAUGAUCCGCCACACUGGGACUGAGACACGGCCCAGACUCCUACGGGAGGCAGCAGUGGGGAAUUUUGGACAAUGGGCGCAAGCCUGAUCCAGCCAUGCCGCGUGUCUGAAGAAGGCCCUCGGGUUGUAAAGGACUUUUGUUAGGGAAGAAAAGGAUAGUGUUAAUACCAUUAUCUGCUGACGGUACCUAAAGAAUAAGCACCGGCUAACUACGUG